Molecule: long non-coding RNA, 143 nt
Organism: Mastomys coucha (southern multimammate mouse)
Lineage: Eukaryota; Metazoa; Chordata; Mammalia; Rodentia; Muridae
Exons: 2
Source: RefSeq, a predicted model, not a curated record
CACCACCAUGCCACAGGAGCGUCCAGCCAGGGCAGGUUUCUGAAGAGGAGGUUCAAAACCCCACUCUACCAGAUCCUCAGCAGUGGUGACUCAAAGUGGGAGAGAGGAAAAUAAAGCUGUCAUCUCAGAGUCUACUAACCACA